Molecule: unclassified non-coding RNA, 1126 nt
Filed under: Bombus terrestris (buff-tailed bumblebee)
Lineage: Eukaryota; Metazoa; Arthropoda; Insecta; Hymenoptera; Apidae
Description: misc RNA ENSBTSG00005033857.1
Source: RNAcentral
GGAGACCCGACAGUUGGCCGACCCGAGGUUAGAUUUAUUUUCACUCGGUGGGUAUUUUUUUUUACGACCCUGCCCGCGCUUUAGACAUAGCCGUCGUGGAGGGAUGUUUUUCGCGUGCGAUCCACCGCGGCCGGGCUCGGUCUCGCGCGUGUAUGCACGCCAACGCUCACGACACUGAAUCAUCCGGACGUGGCACUGACUUUCGCGUCAUCCCUGUGGAAGCGAGCGGCCUUCUCGAGCCGCGCUCGUAUAAUAAACCCAUAAACAGCCCUGCUGCCGCGAGAAGAAGAGACAAGGAACACGGAGGCGACGUGAUUCCUGUGGCAAGAGGUGCACGCGUAGGCUCGUGUACGAGACGACCUUGUGAUUGCGCGAUGCACGAGGUGCAUAUGUACACGAGGAGAACGCGUUACGUAGCGGAUACAUAGUAAACAGCAUGGCGUGGGAGAGGCAACGGAGAAAGAAAAGGAAAGAGAGGAAAAUAAAAGGGGGACGAGAUAGAGGCGGCGAAGGAGGAGAAGGUGAAGGCGGAGGUUGUGGCCGGUGAGAGGGAGAGAGAGAAUUCCUAAGCACCCGGAGCGCGAUGCUUACCUGCGGUAACGUUUAAGCGGUGGAGUAAGUACAAGACCUUAGCGCGCAUCAAGGAAACAAACAGCUGGCGCGCGCAAUAUGAAUUAAACAUGCUGAUUAAUAAUUAACAAGUUGCCGGCUCUCCUCGCGCGCCUAUACCGGUAGGUAGGUGUACUAUCUGGCUUUGUCUUGGUUGCACACGCCUCGAUCCUUUCUUCUUUUUCUCGCUUUCCUUCGCGCGUUACGAGGUAACGCGCACCGCUCCAUUACGCUUCACGAUCGGCGCCGGCUCACGCUAAAACAGCUGUUCGAGGGGUAUCGCGUGUCGAUCGAUUUAAAAAUGCUUCGACACGACCUCAGGCUGCCGGCGAACGCGUGCGGAAACCAUCGCUUCGCUUUUACCGGUUCACCGCCCACUAAAUACCUUCCAUGUCGAAGUAUCACGGUGCGAGUUGCCCGAGAAGAUCGAUCCAAGAUUUUUUCGCGCGCAUGGAACUCGCGGAAAAAUCGCGAGAGAAUCGAGCGAAAGUGGCCGAUAACGCGUGCGAGGAGAAGA